RNAcentral lists this ribosomal RNA (483 nucleotides) under Actinospica acidiphila. RNAcentral's name for it is "partial 23S ribosomal RNA". It matches the Rfam family "Bacterial large subunit ribosomal RNA", at positions 2449 to 2925 of the family's 2925-position model. The record is from RNAcentral. Lineage: Bacteria; Bacillati; Actinomycetota; Actinomycetes; Catenulisporales; Actinospicaceae.
UCAACGGAUAAAAGGUACCCCGGGGAUAACAGGCUGAUCUUCCCCAAGAGUCCAUAUCGACGGGAUGGUUUGGCACCUCGAUGUCGGCUCGUCGCAUCCUGGGGCUGGAGUCGGUCCCAAGGGUUGGGCUGUUCGCCCAUUAAAGCGGUACGCGAGCUGGGUUUAGAACGUCGUGAGACAGUUCGGUCCCUAUCCGCUGUGCGCGUAGGAGUCUUGAGAAGGGCUGUCCCUAGUACGAGAGGACCGGGACGGACGAACCUCUGGUGUGCCAGUUGUUCUGCCAAGGGCAUGGCUGGUUGGCUACGUUCGGGAGGGAUAACCGCUGAAAGCAUCUAAGCGGGAAGCCUGCUUCGAGAUGAGGACUCCCACCUCCUAGAGAGGGUAAGGCUCCCAGUAGACGACUGGGUUGAUAGGCCGGAUAUGGAAGCACGGUAACGUGUGGAGUUGACCGGUACUAAUAGGCCGAGGGCUUGUCCUCAGUUG